UUGCUUGCCCUUGACAGUACAUAUAAUAAAUUGGAUACGAUACAGAGAGAAGAUUAGCAUGGCCCUACGAAAGGAUGACACGCAAAUUAGGUGGCGUUCCAUAUUUUA
Molecule: small nuclear RNA, 108 nt
Organism: Hippoglossus stenolepis (Pacific halibut)
Lineage: Eukaryota; Metazoa; Chordata; Actinopteri; Pleuronectiformes; Pleuronectidae
Source: RefSeq, a predicted model, not a curated record